CUCUCGGAAGCGUUACGGUAGCGUACUUUGUUUGGAACGAAGUGGCGGUGGUUCGACUCCACCCCGAGUGACCA
Molecule: transfer RNA, 74 nt
Filed under: Pseudomonas phage VCM
Lineage: Duplodnaviria; Heunggongvirae; Uroviricota; Caudoviricetes; Vandenendeviridae
Also listed under: 7 other names
Description: tRNA-Pro
Rfam family: tRNA
About the family: Transfer RNA (tRNA) molecules are approximately 80 nucleotides in length. Their secondary structure includes four short double-helical elements and three loops (D, anti-codon, and T loops).
Source: RNAcentral